Molecule: ribosomal RNA, 254 nt
Filed under: uncultured bacterium
Lineage: Bacteria
Description: partial 16S ribosomal RNA
Rfam family: Bacterial small subunit ribosomal RNA
Source: RNAcentral
UACGUAGGGGGCAAGCGUUGUCCGGAUUUAUUGGGCGUAAAGAGCGUGUAGGCGGCUUUACAGGUCCGUUGUGAAAACUCGAGGCUCAACCUCGAGACGCCGGUGGAAACCGUAAAGCUAGAGUCCGGAAGAGGAGAGUGGAAUUCCUGGUGUAGCGGUGAAAUGCGCAGAUAUCAGGAAGAACACCCGUGGCGGAAGGCGGCUCUCUGGGACGGUACUGACGCUGAGACGCGAAAGCGUGGGGAGCGAACAGG